Small nuclear RNA from Ictalurus punctatus (channel catfish), 192 nucleotides. Its record names the gene U2. It matches the Rfam family "U2 spliceosomal RNA". From Rfam's summary of the family: U2 is a small nuclear RNA (snRNA) component of the spliceosome (involved in pre-mRNA splicing). Complementary binding between U2 snRNA (in an area lying towards the 5' end but 3' to hairpin I) and the branchpoint sequence (BPS) of the intron results the bulging out of an unpaired adenosine, on the BPS, which initiates a nucleophilic attack at the intronic 5' splice site, thus starting the first of two transesterification reactions that mediate splicing. NCBI's taxonomy places the organism in Eukaryota, Metazoa, Chordata, Actinopteri, Siluriformes, Ictaluridae. The record is from Ensembl.
AUGGGUUUUGUAAUAAAAAAAAAAAAAAAAAAAAAAAAAAUCUGUUCUUAUCAGUUUAAUACCUGAUACGUCCUCCAUUCGAGGACUUUAUAUUAACGGAUUUUUAGAGCGAGGAGCUGGAAGAGGGGCUUGCUCCGUCCGCUCCACGCAUCGACCUGGUAUUGCAGUACCUCCAGGAACGGUGCACCUUUU